AGUAAGCUUCAUAGAACUCAGACACAAACUCAGGUGAGCAUAACGUCUUUUAAGAAAGUUAAUUGGACAUAUCUCAGAAAAACUUGGUUCAAUAAUCCCAUUCUGGGUUCGAGGGCUCAUAGAGCAGACAGAUGGAGGAUUCUCUGGAAGGUGGAUCUGGACAUGGUGAUUCAGAGUUCUGGCUUGUUUCCUUUGGGUCAUUUUGGACAUCCUGUGGUUUUCUGGAGCUGUCCGUGGUGCUGCUGUUUAACUGAUGGACUCAAAAUCCUGCUUUUGAUAGAUGAUGAUAACAAGAGCCAAAGCAGUGCUGCAUGUUAAAAAUAAUUUUGUAUUAAGUAAUACAUUUCUAAUUCUCACCAAAGCUGCAUUUAUUUGAUGAAAAAUACAGUAAUAUUGUGAAAUAUUGUUCAAAUUUAAAAUAGCUGCUUUGUAUUUGAAUAAAUUAAUUUCUGUGAUGGCAAAGCUGAACUUUCAGCAUCAUUAAUCCAAUCAUCAGAGUCAUAUGAUCCUUCAGAGAUCAUUCUAAUAGGUUGAUUUUCUGCUCAAGAAACAUUAUCGGUGUCGAAAACAGUACAUUAACAAUAUAAUAUAUUCAUUAUUUGCGAUACUGUAGCAAGCAGCAACAGGCCAUAGAACAAGACGUGGUUGGUUAGCAUGUGGUCAGUUAGAUCUGUAGGUAGAUGCUGUAACUAUACUAUUCUACAGUCAAAAGGCAUCUUUCUUUAUUGACAACCUUUCCCUUUCUCAUUAUAUUUACUACAUAGGCUACAAGAGCAAAAAAGCAGUAUAGUUUUAUGUUAUUCUGAACUCAACUCUUUCCCAUCAUGAUUGGAAACUGCACUAUAAUGUUGUUGCGUGAAUAAACACUAAGUCAGGGUCAAGGUAAGGUUUUUUAUAUAGGCUAGAUGAGUGCUGACCACAACAGACAAAACAUGACAUAUCACUCUCCAAAGAAAGAAGAUCUGAGAUGUAGGUGGUCACUAGAGGGCGACAAACGCAUGCACAAAAUGAUCCGUAAGCCCUGAGAACGCUCUCCACAUGCUAAGGUGAUAAAUUAACUCUUAAAACAAUAAAUAGUGUAUUAUACUCGUUUUGAAAGGAUGAUUUAAAAAUAAAGCAUAAAUGAUUCAUACUUAAGUGAAUAAACGUAAUAUGCCAUACAAUCACC
Molecule: long non-coding RNA, 1168 nt
Organism: Cyprinus carpio carpio
Lineage: Eukaryota; Metazoa; Chordata; Actinopteri; Cypriniformes; Cyprinidae
Source: Ensembl